This 402-nucleotide ribosomal RNA is filed under the name uncultured bacterium. RNAcentral describes it as "bacterial SSU rRNA". It matches the Rfam family "Bacterial small subunit ribosomal RNA", at positions 355 to 774 of the family's 1533-position model. The record is from RNAcentral.
UGGGGAAUCUUGCACAAUGGGGGCAACCCUGAUGCAGCGACGCCGCGUGAGCGAUGAAGCCCUUCGGGGCGUAAAGCUCUUUCGACCGGAACGAUAAUGACGGUACCGGGGGAAGAAGCUGCGACUAACUACGUGCCAGCAGCCGCGGUAAUACGUAGGCAGCAAGCGUUGUUCGGAGUUACUGGGCGUAAAGAGUGCGUAGGCGGUUUUCUAAGUUCGGUGUGAAAUCUCCCGGCUUAACUGGGAGGGUGCGCCGAAGACUGGGAAGCUGGAGUGUGGGAAAGGCAGGCGGAAUUCCUGGUGUAGCGGUGAAAUGCGUAGAUAUCAGGAGGAACACCGGCGGUGUAGACGGCUUGCUAGACCAUAACUGACGCUGAGGCACGAAAGCGUGGGUAGCAAACA